RNAcentral lists this long non-coding RNA (211 nucleotides) under Homo sapiens (human). RNAcentral describes it as "non-protein coding lnc-ZPLD1-4:2". The record is from RNAcentral. Lineage: Eukaryota; Metazoa; Chordata; Mammalia; Primates; Hominidae.
AGUGGGAUUCCUAGAGUGAAUGCCUUUGUAAAUGUAGGAGGGCCCUUUCUAAUGCAGCCCCCAUGAAUUCCUCACUCUCAAGCAAUUCUACACUCAGUCUGAAGCAAUUUAUAAAACAACCAUCUGAAUAUUCCUACCAGCUUAAGGAUUCCGGUGGCUUCUGCUCUAGAUGGAAAAUGCAGUCUAAAGAGAUGAGGGGACUUCUCCUGUG